CACUGAUGGCUCUCACCAGGCACCAAAUCUAGUGGUGUCUUGAUCUUGGACUCCAGAACUGUUUUAUCUACUACAAAGGAUAUCACUUGGGAAGGAAUUUCUUGAAACUGCUCCCAAGAGAGCCAUUGGACCAUGUGGUAAACAACUCCUAGCUGAUGGAUUAUUGGGAAAGCCUCCAGAAGGGCUGGAGACUAAAGGUAUCAUCUCGACCUCUGGAGAGGCUGGAAACUAAAGGAAUAUUAACAUCAUCCAGAAUGCUAUGGGGAGAAGACAACUGGAAGCUCCGUGUGGACAAACCUCCUGGACUCUGCCCCACAUAUCUCUUCCCUUGGCUGAUUUGAAUUUGUAUCCUUUCACUGUGAUAAACCACAACCAGAUUAUUACAGCUGUCAGCAAGUUCUUCUAUUGAAUUGUUGAAACUGAGGGUGGUCUUGGGAACCCCUGAACUCUACUGUUGGUGUCAGGAGUGAGGGAAGUCUUGUGGACUGUACUCCCUGACCUCACAGGUGCAUUUUCCAACUUUAUUUGGACAUUCCCCAACAACAUCAUCCCCUUCUUCAAAUAUGUUUCUGCUACAAACAUUGUCCUUUAGAUGGUUCCUUUGCUGCCAUUAUGACUAUGGCGUAAUCUGUAGUAAAGCACCAUUAAGAUGUUAAUACAGAUGUAUGUGUGAAUUAAAAAGUGAUGCUAAAUGCAUAGUAACCAAUUUACUUCGCAUUAAUAAUUUAGCUAUUUUUAUUUGUUUCUAAACAAAAAGCAAAGAGGAUCCAGUCCAGAGAGCAGUUGCAACAGUGUGCACAAUUUUUAUUAAACCGAAAUAAAAGUUCUUGGGCUAUGGAAGUCACCUAAAUUCACUUCUCUUUUCCUAUGAACUUUCACUUUUUUUCCUUCCAACUCUAGUUAGAAGCUGACAGCUGACACGCCCUUCCUUUGUGCAUUUUAUCCUGGGACAAAAUGAGAAGACAUCCUUCAGUUCCCAUCUUGGAUGGCAUAACUUCAAAACCAAGGGAGAUGGAGGAGUUUUAGAGGAGUAGAAGGCUGCAAGCAAGAACUGAUGCAUUACAUCUCCAGUCACCUCACUCUAAGAUUGUCCUGUAGCUAAGACUGUUGAAUGAGACUGUUGUUCUUCAGUUUGCAGCCACAAAGCACGGAGGCAUCUCCCCAAGAAUCCACUGCAGGGAGGAUGAACAGCCCUUACCUGGAUUUUUGCUUUAUCUAAAAAUAUAUUUGUAGAAGAAGGAGCAUUCUAGUUUCCAAAUACAAAGGGCAAUCUCCUUCUCUGUGUGUGCACGUGCAAACAAACACACUUCUACAAGUAAGCAUUCUUCUUUAUUAUCAUAGUCAUCAUCAUCACUGGGUUGGCAACUAAAAACAAAACUACAAAACUCUCAUGUUAGCAGUUGAGUAACUUUUAAUAACCAGAUACAAACCAUUCUUCAUUGUUUACAAGGGGCAUUAAAAAGAAAAGGAGGUUGAACUGCAAUGUGAAGUGUAGUUAAAUAUGUAGACAUCUUGGAUUCUAGAAGAGUUUGUAAUGGAUUAAAGGGUUAAGCUAUGAAAUUGUUGCCCUCUGUGAUUUUUCCACACUAGAACAGACUGACAUGGUUUGAAGCAGUUGGGCUUUAACCUAUAGAUAGGAGGACAGAGAUGAUUGCCUAUGAAGCAAUUAUUAAAUAGCUGCAUUUUGGCAUGUUCUAGUUGAAAAGAUUUAGUUUUACCUAUAUCACCUCAUCAUCACUAAUUUAAUCAUCCUCAGAAAAUGCAAAAAUAAUGAUGUACAUUUGACAAGUCUUAUACAAAAUUAUGUUUCAUAGCUUUGUGGUCAGAAUUAAGCCAUGUUCUAAAAUACAAAUGAAUAGUUUACAGCCCACUAAUUCCUAACUGUAAGUGUUAAGUCUAUAUAAAAAUAAGAGACAAGCUUGUGAUCAGGAAUAGCUUCCAAUUAUGAAAAAUUUAAAUAAAAAUAAUAGAAUGUGCUUAAUUUAUUUAUCAUAUACAAAGUAGACAUAUGUGACCAAAAUGAUUCAUUAUUUUUACGAUUUUCAUGGGAAUAAGUUUGACAAUAUUAAGUGCUGGAGAUAGAAUAUCAGGUAAUCUUAAAUACUGUUCAUAGGAAUGUACAACCAUUUUGGAGAACAGUUGGAAUUAUCCAAAGAAAGCUGAAGAUUUUCCUAACUUAUAAUUUUAAAAAUUGGCACAUGCCCUCAAGUAACAGUUGCAUACCUAAGGAGACAUGUGUAAGUAUUUUUACAGCAGCAUUAUUUAUAAUAGCCCAAAUUGGAAAUAACCUAAAAUCAUAUGUUCUUAC
This 2308-nucleotide long non-coding RNA is filed under the name Homo sapiens (human). RNAcentral's name for it is "HSALNT0393430". The record is from RNAcentral. Lineage: Eukaryota; Metazoa; Chordata; Mammalia; Primates; Hominidae.